AGCUGUAUUUAAAGAUAAAUAUCUGUUUUCAUAACAAAUGGUAUGUAGGAAUUUCGGACGCGGGUUCAACUCCCGCCAGCUCCACCA
This 87-nucleotide transfer RNA is filed under the name Klebsiella pneumoniae subsp. pneumoniae. RNAcentral's name for it is "tRNA-Sup (TCA) (tRNA-Sup-TCA-1-1)". It matches the Rfam family "transfer-messenger RNA", at positions 282 to 374 of the family's 374-position model. From Rfam's summary of the family: Bacterial tmRNA, also known as 10Sa RNA or SsrA, is named for its dual tRNA and mRNA-like properties. Its role is to liberate the mRNA from a stalled ribosome. The record is from RNAcentral. Lineage: Bacteria; Pseudomonadati; Pseudomonadota; Gammaproteobacteria; Enterobacterales; Enterobacteriaceae. RNAcentral also lists the same sequence under 6 other names.